AUUCAUAUAGUUUAAUUAAAACCCUUUAUUUUCAUUAAAAAAAUGAUUAUUUAUAUCUAUGAAUU
This 65-nucleotide transfer RNA is filed under the name Psammotettix sp. EMHAU-2015-Zz053036. Its description in RNAcentral is "tRNA-Glu". Lineage: Eukaryota; Metazoa; Arthropoda; Insecta; Hemiptera; Cicadellidae. The record is from RNAcentral.